Long non-coding RNA from Quercus robur (English oak), 368 nucleotides. RefSeq lists it as uncharacterized. The record is from RefSeq and is a predicted model, not a curated record. NCBI's taxonomy places the organism in Eukaryota, Viridiplantae, Streptophyta, Magnoliopsida, Fagales, Fagaceae. The transcript is spliced from 3 exons.
CUCUCAUUAUUCUUCAAAUUAAAGACAUUUAGUUUAGCUCUACAUCAUCUUCUCUUUUUCUUCAUAUUAAAGAUAUUUACUGUCAGAGGCUUCAACAAAUUUUCAGGUAUUGUGAUCCAAAGACAGGGCUGUCUUAUGCUACAAAAGAAGUAUUCAAAAUCAUUCUCCAACAGUUAAACAGUUCACGUACGCACAAACUUUUUGGAUUGCAUUGAGGAGUCAUUGGAAUGGAAUAUUAGAUAAGUUCGGGUGAGAGACUUUACAAGAAUUAUUAUAUGUAUUAAACCUCACAUAAAGUGGUUGUUAUCUAAGAAACUGUUGUAAAAAAAUUUCUUUUGUAAUAGAAACUAUAUUUCUUUUGUAUACAA